Molecule: ribosomal RNA, 467 nt
Filed under: uncultured bacterium
Lineage: Bacteria
Description: partial 16S ribosomal RNA
Rfam family: Bacterial small subunit ribosomal RNA
Source: RNAcentral
ACGCACGCUGGCGGCGUGCUUAACACAUGCACGUCGAACGGAAAGGCCCUGCUUUUGUGGGGUGCUCGAGUGGCGAACGGGUGAGUAACACGUGAGUAACCUGCCCUUGACUUUGGGAUAACUUCAGGAAACUGGGGCUAAUACCGGAUAGGAGCUCCUGCUGCAUGGUGGGGGUUGGAAAGUUUCGGCGGUUGGGGAUGGACUCGCGGCUUAUCAGCUUGUUGGUGGGGUAGUGGCUUACCAAGGCUUUGACGGGUAGCCGGCCUGAGAGGGUGACCGGCCACAUUGGGACUGAGAUACGGCCCAGACUCCUACGGGAGGCAGCAGUGGGGAAUAUUGCGCAAUGGGCGGAAGCCUGAUGCAGCAACGCCGCGUGCGGGAUGACGGCCUUCGGGUUGUAAACCGCUUUCGCCUGUGACGAAGCGUGAGUGACGGUAAUGGGUAAAGAAGCACCGGCUAACUACGUG